Ictalurus punctatus (channel catfish) is the source of this 640-nucleotide long non-coding RNA. RefSeq lists it as uncharacterized. Lineage: Eukaryota; Metazoa; Chordata; Actinopteri; Siluriformes; Ictaluridae. The transcript is spliced from 2 exons. The record is from RefSeq and is a predicted model, not a curated record.
AUAAAAUCCCGGUAGCUCUCGGUGCGCACUUUGUCCUGCAAGUGAGAAAGCAGAGAAAGAAAGAGAGGAAGAGCGAGAGAGAGCGAGAGAGAGAUAGAUGUAAGUAAUGACACAGUGUCACCAGUACAUUUUCUAUUAGGAAGACAAAACGCGUGUCUCUUGUGGCAACUCGGUGUAAUCCCCCAAUCACUCAGUACUGGAAGUUUAAUUCUGUCGCAAAGCCACAGUUGGAGAUGAUGACGUUAACUAUUAUUUUUUGUCAAAGAACCGAGGAACGAAGAAAAUUAAAAAGCAGAAGACGACAGACGAUGGCUGACCUCUGGAAAAACUUCCCCCGUCUGAACUGUAAAUUUCCAGCUCCUUCAGCGCUCCUCUUGCAUCGACCUUGAGAAGGUUGCUUCUCUAAAUACCGCCCUCCUGACCUGGGUGCUGAAUUUUACCGGAUGACCUCCUCUAGAUGUUAAAAGGAUUUUGAUGGUACUUUUCUGGACGUCCAAAAGACAUUUCAUAACCGCACCCUGACCGAUAAGUUUCCAAAACUUUGUCCUGAACUGCCUUGAUAUUUUUUGUUAGUGUUUGUUUAGGUAUGUUUAAAAAGGUCUGAUCAUUUUUAGGAGAUAAAAUAAAUGUAAAAACUUUU